RNAcentral lists this long non-coding RNA (15188 nucleotides) under Vitis vinifera (wine grape). RNAcentral describes it as "long non-coding RNA (VVIN_LNC000336)". The record is from RNAcentral. Lineage: Eukaryota; Viridiplantae; Streptophyta; Magnoliopsida; Vitales; Vitaceae.
CGCCCGCCGACUCGUUCUCCACCACAACUUCUCCGUCACAUUCCUCAUUCCCACUGAUGGCUCUCCCGUUACCCCGCAGAAAUCCGUUCUCAAAGCCUUACCCACAUCCAUAAACUAUGUUUUCCUUCCUCCUGUUGCCUUCGAUGACCUUCCCGAGGACGUACGCAUCGAGACUCGGAUCUCGCUCAGCAUGACUCGGUCGGUUCCCGCCCUGCGGGACUCGCUCCGGACACUGACCGAGUCGACUCGGCUCGUGGCUCUGGUGGUUGACCUCUUUGGCACCGACGCUUUUGAUGUUGCCAAUGAAUUCGGUAUUCCUCCGUACAUCUUCUUCCCUACGACCGCCAUGGUGUUGUCGUUGAUAUUCCACGUGCCGGAGCUUGACCAGAAAUUCUCUUGCGAGUAUCGGGACCUACCCGAACCGGUCAAAUUUCCCGGCUGUGUGCCGGUUCAGGGGAGAGACCUAAUCGACCCGCUUCAAGACAGAAAAAACGAGGCCUACAAAUGGGUUGUCCACCACGCCAAAAGGUACAAAACGGGCCCUGGAAUCAUAGUGAACAGCUUCAUGGACCUUGAACCGGGAGCUUUCAAAGCUCUUAAAGAAAUCGAACCGGACUACCCUCCGGUUUACCCCGUCGGACCACUAACCCGGUCCGGUUCAACAAACGGGGACGACGGAUCCGAGUGUUUGACAUGGCUGGAUCAUCAACCAAGUGGGUCAGUCCUAUUUGUGUCGUUCGGCAGCGGGGGUACCCUAUCCCAGGAGCAGAUAACUGAACUCGCUUUGGGAUUAGAGAUGAGUGGACAAAGAUUCCUCUGGGUUGUGAAAAGCCCACAUGAAACAGCAGCAAAUGCCUCAUUUUUCAGUGCCCAAACCAUUAAAGACCCUUUUGAUUUUCUGCCAAAGGGCUUUUUAGAUAGGACCCAAGGGCUGGGUCUUGUGGUCUCAUCUUGGGCACCCCAGGUCCAAGUCCUGAGCCAUGGCUCCACCGGUGGGUUCCUAACCCACUGUGGUUGGAACUCAACAUUAGAGACCAUAGUCCAGGGUGUCCCCAUAAUCGCAUGGCCCCUCUUCGCCGAGCAGAGAAUGAACGCGACACUGCUCGCCAACGAUCUAAAGGCCGCAGUCACGUUGAACAAUAAUAAUGGUCUGGUGAGCCGCGAAGAAAUUGCCAAAACUGUGAAGAGCUUAAUCGAAGGAGAAAAAGGAAAAAUGAUACGAAACAAGAUCAAAGACCUCAAGGACGCUGCGACAAUGGCUCUGAGCCAAGAUGGAUCGUCUACUAGGUCACUUGCAGAGGUGGCUCAGAUAUGGAAGAAUAUCAAGGUUUGAAAAAAAAAGGGUUGAAAUGGAAGAAUUGGAUGAAUGUGUAUGGGUUGGAUUUUGUUGACUUUAGGCUAUAUAUUUAAAUUUUGUCUUGUGUAUGUGUUAUAACUUAUAAUCUAUAAAGGGGUGUACUUAGAGAAAUGGACAAUGGAGGGAUGCACUUCUUGAAUAUAGUUUUUAUCCCAAUCAAAUCAGUGGUCCAAUGGAAAAUGAAUCGGUUAAUAGCUAUUUGAUAAUAUUGUGCAAUGGUUGGUAUUUUGAAAUAAAAUCAUAUUUUAGGGAUUUUUAAAAAAAUAUAAUGAAAAUAUGAUUUUUAUAGUGUGGUUUGAGUCCAAAUUUAACAUCUAAUUAAAAAUCCAUUUUUUCAAAGUAUCGUCCAAUUUAAAAAUUUAUUCAAUCAUGGAUAGAAUUGAUUCGAUAAUCUAAUUGUGCUCCAACCGUUAUAUCAAUGUUACAUGAAUGGCUAAUCCAAUUAUUGAGCGAUCCAAUAAUAAACUAGUCCAAACAUAAGAAUCAAACAGAUGAUUGAACUGAUAAGUCUAAUUUAACUUUCAAAUGGAUGAUCCUAUUAUUUGAUUUAAAGUGAGGAAAAUAUUCGAUAAAAUUUUAAAUUCAUGGUAAUUAAGUAUAUUUAGCUUUAACUUCAAAAUUCUAAAAAUAUGACAAAGAAAAACAAUGGAGAGCUCAAUCAAAAAGCUCAACACAUCCCCUCUAUCUUACAAAGAUUACGAUAUUUAUAAGUCUUCUUCUUAGUAAGACCUUUGUGAAUUUUUUCAUCAUAAGUUUUGCAUUUUUUGCGAUCUUUGGUACAUAUAUUAGAUAACAACAUUAUGACCUUUAGAACAUGAUUUUGAAGGGUUUUUUUUCUUUUUUUCUUCUAAUAAUGUAUGUUAGGACUUUGCUAAUUUGGCGAAAGCCAAACAAGUUAGGCUAAGAGGAUGUGAGAAUACCCUUUUUCUCAAUGUGAAUUUUAAUUUCAGUUGAUGUUUGUUCUUUUACUUAAUUCUAAAUAUAAUUUUGAUGUUUAAUAAUGUUAAGUAUUAGAUGAUUUGUUUUUGUAAUAUUUUAUUUUUCUCAAGCAUUAAAAGAUAAAGACAAAUCAGCAUAUUAUUUUUUUUAUUUAAAAAAAAAUCAGAUAUUUUAACUUUUUAUAUUCGACAAAAAAUUUAUAAUAAGUCUUAAAAAAAAUUAAAAAUACAAACGAAUUAAAGUUUGAAAGUAAAUUACUUUUAAUAAAAAAUUAAAAAAACAAAUACGACAUGGCCAAAAUCUUACAAUAUGAAGUAAAGGACAGUGGUUGACCCUCUUUAUUAUUUUAAAAAUAAAAUAUUAAACAAAUAGUACCAACGAAAAUGGGGCAUGACCUCAAUACACAAGAAGCACAAGGCCGAUAAUGGAAUGGGCCAAUGCAGCAUAAAAGGUUUUCAUGCAAAAGCCUUUUGGCCCCUAGCUUGGAGCUCCCUUCUCCUGAAAAGAUUCUUCCACAAAUACCCUCAAAAGCAGAGAGGGCCAAGGCGCUUACCUUUGCGUUUUUUGCCCACUGCUCGUUUAUUAUUUUCUCAAAAUUAAUGCCACAAUAAUUAGUAAGGACUAAGGACCCCAUUUAUGAAUCAUGUCGGCUUAAAGUUGCUUUAUCCUUCUAAAGUCGGACUUAUCCGCAUGUGAAAGCUCACUCAAAAAGUAAAAACAACCCCGUACUUUAAAUCUCAACAAGAAUUUUAUCGGCUUCUUCCACCCCCACGGUCCUACCUUCUAGAAGAGCCCAAUGGGCUUUCUUUUCUUAUUGGGCCAUUUCUUAAUAAUACGGGCUUAUUUUUAAGUCUGUUUGGGUCCAUUAAUAUUUCCAGCCAGGAAAAAAAAAAGCUAUGUUAUGAAUAAACGAAAGUUGUACUACACAUCAAGUUAACAAUAGUUAUAACUUAUAACUGUAUGUAAUAAAAAAUUCAUAUUAAAAUAUUAAAUUAUAAAAGUCUUUUUAUUUAAGUUAAGUUGUAUUUUUAAAUAUUUUAUUUAAAUAUAAUAUAUCUAAAAUUUGAUUGUAUGAAUUUCUAUACAAAAGAGGUUCAGACAAAUUCAAAAACAAACUUGAUGUAGGAUGAUUGAAAUUUCUUAAUCCAAGCUCCCAAACAGCCCCCAAAUGUCCACGUGGCAGAGGGAACGAUAGUCGAUAAACCCUCAAAUGCAGAGGUUUUAGAAAGAGAGACUUUCAUCGGGGAGAAAAGGCAGAGGUUGAGGUUCAGAGAAAAUGGAGAAAUCUCUGGUGACACUCGACAACGGCACCACAUGCUCUUCCUGGAACUACAAUGGCGAGAGAUUGGCAACGGGCUCAGUCGAUGGAACACUGGCCAUCUUCGAUUCAAUCGACCCAGCUUCUUCAUCCUUCACUUGCACCUCCAGAUCUAGGGUUCGUAAGUUCUCUUAUUCUUUUCCUUGAUUACGCUCUCAAAAUUUUUGCUGUAGGGUUUUUCUUUUUGUUUCUAUUUUUUUGGUUGACUUUUAUUUGUAGGAGUAUUUCAACGAAAAAUGGGCUAAUGUUAGUGGGUUUCAUUUGCAAUAAGGAAAAAAAAAAAAAAGUUGGGAGAGGGUUCUUAAUAGAUUGGGUAAGCGAGAUUGAUGAGGGAGACCGUUAUGGUGUGUGGAUUUAUGAAAAUUUUGCCGAAGUGGUUUGUUGCUAUGACUUGAAUAAGGGUUGUUUCGGGAACUGCAAUUGAAAUUGUUCUUCGAAAUAUUUUGACGGCAAUGGGGUUGGCUUUGAUGGGAUUUAUCAGGAUUUCGGUGGUUUGAACAGUGAGUUCAUUUGCGCUUCUCAGGCCGUUGAUCUCUGUAUUGUAUUUUAACACUUGUUUUGACGUUCAACUUGUUUUAGGUGCAUGAGGAUAGCGUAGUGAAAGUGGUUUGGGUCCCUCCGGAAUAUGGCGAUGCAGUUGGGUGCAUUUGUGCUGAUGGAACUUUGUCAUUGUGGGAGGAGGUUGUAGAAGGUACCCACUAAGUUCACCUUCUCGUGUGAUCAUUUAUGACAAACAAAUAUGUGUAUUAGUCUGCCAUUGAAAUUUUUUAUGUAAUGGGUCAGGAACAGAUUCUGGACUAGCUUAUAGAAUGUUGUUCAGUGAUUUUUUUAUUAUAUUUUCCAUCGUAGUAUUUUCGGUGGUGUAUUACUAUAAUUAUUUCUUCCGUCUGAAUUUUAUUGUGUUUGAUUACCUCUAGGUUGUGAUUAAUUUAUUACAGUGCAAUUUAUUUUAUUAAGAUGAAUGAAAAGAUCUCACUGUCUUGUAAUUUUUAUUUCCUUUCUCUAGAUGCACAACCCCUUCAAUGGAAACUAUGCAAAAGUUUUGGAAGUAAUUCAAAUAAAGUGCUCGAUGUCCAAUUUGGAGUCUCACCAACAAGUUUGAAAAUGGUGAACUGUGAUAAUUGUUACUUCUUUCCUUUAUCUCUAUUUUAUUAUUGGAACUGCUGAAGCCAAUUUAAAAUGUCUGAUGAUAUUUGUUAUAGAGUGCCAUUUGAUCGGUUACGUCUUAUGCAGCGAAGCAUAUCAAGUCUAUCCAACUUGUUCUAGAAUGGACACUCUAUGUCCUACAUUUUUUCUACUAGCAGUUUGCCACUGUAUACAUCAUGUGUACUUUGUUCUGCCCUUUUUGGCGUUUUUAAUACAAAUCUCAUUUACUGAUUAAAAAAAAAAAAGAUUUCUACUAGCAGUUUGGAAAUAGUUGUUUAAAUUUAUUUCUGUUGCAUGGAAUUUCUUGAAGGGAUUAAAACUUUUUUAUUUGUGUGUGAAAGUGGAGCGAUAAUUUUUUUGUUUGUUUCAUUUUGAGCUUGUGAAUUUUCAUGCUUUUAUUGGUUUCCAGAAAAAAAAUUGUCGUCACUUUUCUCACCAGGUAAAAGCAAACAAUGAGAUCAGUUCCCCAUUUAUGCUUUAGAUAGUCUCUGGGUAUGCAGGGUUGAGGGUGGGCAUUUGUUGACAUGAUCUAGUCUGUUCACAAAUGAGAUUAAGUUUAUCGAAGUUCUAUGGUUUUUUUUAUCACCUGUUUAUAAUUGGUAAUCUAUUACUUGAACAUUAAUAAAGCAAGAACUUUCAUUUUGAUUGAAUUGUAUGUCCUAUUAACUUAGCUUACUUUACAGGUUAGUGCAUAUUCAGAUGGCCACGUGAAAGUCUAUGAGCUCCUAGAUCCAUUGGAACUGAAGAGUUGGCAACUUCAGGUGACCAUUUUAUCUGCUUUCAUUUCUUAAUCUUAUUAUGAUGCAAUUCGACUUGUAAAUAUGGCAAUGAUGGAAAAGUUGUGGGUUGGAAAGUUAUAAAUCUUUAAGUUAUUAUUUUAUUAUUUGAAUAAAUUUUCCACCCAAUACCAUAUGUUGAAGUUAUUAUUAUUUGUUUUUUCCGGAAGAUGUAAUGAACAGAUUCCAUUUUUUUCCUAUUCUCAUCUUUUCCUUAAUUUAUCUCAUUCUAUCUUCAUUUUAUUUUUUCCCUUUAAAUUUGUUUGGAAGUUGUAGUUUGUAAACUAUGAGCACAAUGGAUAAAAAUAUAUAAAAGAAUCUAUUUGGUUGCUUUUUAGGUCUUAUUUUUCACUUUUCAACAUUGCUUGCUAGAUAUAUUUGGUUGUUGUCUUGGCCAUUCGGAGCAUUUGAUAUGGACAUAACUUCCUGAAGCACCAUGAUGACCAAACAUCUUUGGCAUUAGUUUCUCCCUUAUUUUAGCUGUUUAUGUCUAAAAAGUGAAAAUGAAGAAUAUUCAUCUCAUGCUCCUGCCAACAGCUUUUGAAUGCUGCAUUAAAUGGCUCAGACAGUGAAAAUGAUUCUGAGGAUAAUAAUGGUUUUGAAUCUUUUGAUAUUUGAGACAUCAUGGCCAAGCAUAUAGAUUUGAGUUAAGGGUAAUUAAUGCCAAUCUUUUUGCGUGUUUUUUUUGUUUCUGAAUUCUCAUUUAUAUUAUAUAUCCAUAAUUAUUUUUAAAAAAAAUUCAUUCCCUUUUGUUCAUAGGCUGAAUUUCAGAAUGCUAGUGAUUCAGUGUCUACGUUUGGGAAGGCUUUGUGCUUAUCUGCAUCUGUCUCUUGGAAUCCACAAAGAGGUGAAAGUCAGCAAUCAAGCUUUGUCUUGGGUUUUCAUUCUGACACUCCGCAACUCAAUUCCGCAAAGGUCUGUUAAAUUCUGCAUUUCUUGCUUCCUUGUCAUUAAAUUUCUAUGUGAGAUUGUAGACUAGCUACAUGUCUAGGGCACAGCCUUUCCUACCUCAUCAGAUAUGUUAAAAUUAAUGAGAUGAUUGGAGGCCCCAACACAGGGUAAAACCUUCAAGAUUUACAAGUUGAACCUAUUAAAGGAAUUUAUUUUCUUCAUUUUAAGGAUGGAUAAAAACUCCACAUUAAAGGAAUAAUUCAUUAAUUGAAUGGAUAAAAUCAUCUACAAGAACAUUUUUAAUCCAUAUGACCAUGUUGGGUACCCUUUCAUCAGAAGAAUAGCAGCAGCUGUGAAAACUACUUUGCUCCUUCAGCACCUUAACUCUUAUAUAAUAAAAUUCUCCAUUAGAUACCAAAUUAUUUUAUUGUUGAGGGUGGUGGUGGUGUUGCCCCUCCUCUUUUAUAGCACUUUGUCUGUCAAAAAAAAACAAAAAAACAAAAAGAUACCAAAUUAUUUUAGUUUAUUUAUUGAUAGGCAAAUGAAAUUUCUAUCAACAACACUAACCAAAAAGUGUGCACCAAGGCAUACAAGAAGCAUGCUAAUGUUGCCAAACAGAAAUAGGAGCUAAAAAAAUUGCUUCUCUCCCUUUAUAUACAGCCUAUCCCAUCAACUGAUACAAACAUAUGUCAUACAUGGUUGUAGGCAUAUUUCGUUACGUAUACGAAACAAUCAUAGAAGGGAACUGUUUUUGUGUGCAUAGAUGGUCUUUUAUGCAUAUGGAAAUCUACUCAACUCAAUUUAAAUUACAAGUAAAAAAAUUCAUCCCAUAUAUCAAAACAUUUUGAAAUAUAUUUUUUGUUAAAUUUAAUUUUAGGCCCAAUAUUUGGAAUUGAUGUCUUACCACCCCCAUAUGGAUUCUCUAUAGGGUUCAUAACUAUUUUUACUACAAGAUGCCUACUUAGCCAACACUUAGAUCUAGCUCUACCCAAACCUUUUUUUUUCACCCCAACAUUCCUCACCUAUCUGAUUGUCAUCGACCAAUAUUUGGAUUUCAAAUAGACCUCCCUAGAAGGUAACUUUAAUGUGGCCAAUUUCCUCUCUUUUGCAAUAAGUUUUGCCACAACACCCGCUACUCUAGCCAAUUAUACACCAUUUCCAAUUGUGAUUUCUAUUUUUUUUUUUUUAUAGGUCAAGAUCAAUUGUAUUCAGUGUCUAAAAAAAAUGGUGGAAAAAAGUUACACAAGAUGACUAUUCAUAGCCAUCACCUUGACACCAAAGAAGAGUUUGACUUGAUACUCUAUUUAUUCGAUAUUAAAAGUACAUUGAUUUUUUCCCAAUAACCAAAUACUUUUAUUUGUAAAUACUACAUAUUUGAUUCUAUCCAUAAAUCCAUUUUCUUCUCAUGAGCUACUAGUACAAGUAGUGGUUCAGAAGUGUCUUGGAUGCGUUGAAUAGUCUAGUUUUAGUCUUUCACUUACCUUAUGAUCCUAGUGAGUUAAGCACCCCCAGGUAGAAAAGAAAUGGAACACAUUUUCAAUGGUUUAAAAUGGGCUUAGCGCUAGCCUUUUGAAUCACAAAUGAACAGAUAGAGACUUGGAAGUUUGGUCUUCUGUCAUGUAGAGGGAGAGAAUCACCUGCUUUAGAUGCUACAAAUCAUCCUUCAUCUCAACUUUCAGCUUUCUUUUUGCAAUUUCCACCAACAAUCAGGACCCUCCCAACAGCAUAAUAAGGGGCAUCCAGUGUGGACUUCAAUUUAGCAUUGAUCAGGCAAUUGAAGCACUUGAUCUUCUGUGCUUCUAUUCUUAAUAAAAAUGCUAGUUCUUACUAUUCAUAUAUUAUGAUACGAAUAUACCACACUUCUUAUGUAUGGAUGAUGAGAUUCCACUGAUAUGGAGCGAAUUCCAAUAGACUUAUUGGAAGGUCCCAUUAGUGUGCAUCUAGUAGGGAUUGAACCCACAGAUUUGCCAAUUAUGAGAUGGAUGCUUUAACCAUUCAAUCAUCGAUUCUUAGUGGGGAUCCUCUUACAUGGUGAAUAAGUAAAUUCUAAUUGAAACAAAAUCUUUACGAUAACUUGGUGUACUUUAGGAGGAAUCAAUGAGGACAUCAAUUCACAUCUUUGAUUUUCAAAUUGAGAGAGAUAUUGAGAAAGAUCAAGAAUCCUCAUUAUUUCUUAAAUUCAUGGACCCAAUUCAAUUCAAUGGGAUCUUUCAUUUGCAUUUUUUCCCCACCAAGAAUGUUUAAUAAAACUCUAAACUCCUGAAUUUGAAGUAUCCUACUUUCACACGAUUUAUAGGGUUCAACAGGUAAUAUUUCAUGAUCAAGGGUGUAGUACUAUAUGCAGUAGAGGUCCUCAUAUAUCAUAUUAACAACUAAAAUAUGGUUGAAAUGAGAAGUCUCUAUUUGUUGAGGCUUCUUCCUAUACUCGUGAAUUCCAUUAAACCCAAAAUGAUGCAUUGGAAGAAUCUUUUAGGUCUUCCAAUAUCAAUAGGUUGAUUGUUUUGCUCAUGUAUCUUCCAAAAGGAUAAAAGAUCUCUUGAGAGCUAUUUUCUGGAUCUGAAAGAGUGUACUUGGGAUCUGAAAAAGUGUAUCAUGCCUGAAUCGAAGCUAGAAGUUUGAGCUUCCUGUACAAUCGUGGAGUGACUUCCCAAAAUGAUUGGGAGAUAAUUAGAUGAGCUUUCAGUGCAAGAGCAGUGUAUUUUAACCGACCUUGGUAAUAAAUUUCCACAGGUCUGGGAAUUUGAUCAGAAUCACCAAAGAUGGCUUCCAGUUGCUGAGUUGGCUUUGCAUGGGGAUAAGGGGGAUCAGGUCUUCACUGUUGCAUGGGCACCUAAUAUUGGCAGGUAACGCAUAUAUGUUUUUCUUUCAAAAUACAUUUUAGACCAGCUGUUAUGGAAAUCUGAAACAUCUGAUAUAGCGUGCUCUGUAAAUCAGUGCUUGCUCCAAUGUAGAUACUUUAUAGAAUGUUGCUGAAAUGUGGAGCCAGGAUAACUCUGAUGGCAAUUGACCUGAAUAGCUUGAGGCUCUUAUUGCACCUAUUUCUGUUGUGUUUUCUUGAUGAAGAACAAUUAAACAAUGCAUAACUAGAAGUGAACUUCUCACUCUUUUAGGCCAUAUGAGGUAAUGGCUGUUGCAACUCACAAGGGAAUCGCGAUAUGGCAUCUUGGGCUUAACCCUGACAUUGAUGGAAGGCUCUCAGUGGAGAGGGUUGCCCUGCUUUCUGGUCAUGAUGGGGAGGUAAUGGUACCGAUGUACUCAUAUUUAUCUUUCUAUUUUGUUCUACUUUACUCAUCCAGAGACAUCUUUAGAGCUGCAAACCUGAUGGAAAUGGACUGAUAAGGGGGGGCGUUUAAUAUCUUUAUCAUUUGGAGUAACUAGAAAGGAAGUUGGGGAUAUUUAAUACAAAAAGUACUUAUUCUUGAUGGUUUUAGUAAGCAUGAACUCAUCUGAUGUGCUGUAUUAAUGAAUAUGGUCUGAUUGUCAUAUAUUCAUUGUUGUGAUUAGGUGUGGCAGAUGGAAUGGGACAUGAGCGGAAUGACCUUGGCAACUACUGGAGGAGAUGGGAUGGUAAGGCUGUGGCAGUCUAACUUGAAUGGUGUUUGGCAUGAACAGGCUGCACUGGAGCCCACUUCUUAGCCCCCACCCCCGUCAGCACUUCCAUCUCCUGUGUUUAUUUUGUCUCAAUAGCAUGGUUUCAUAUUUAACCAUCGUCCUCUGCGCUCUUCAAUCACUAUCCUCUUGAUUUGAUUAAGCUAUGGAGGUUCUCUCACCAAUCUGGCUUUCUAAACAUUGGGCUGGCUUCCAUUUCCUGUGCAAUUGUUUUUUUUUUUUUUUAAUCUAUAUCAAACUUAGCUCCUCAUUUUAAGGGUGUAAGUGAAUUGAAAAGUUGAUCCAGUUCAGCCCAAACCGAUUAAGUCGAUUUGGUUUUCAACGACUAAGAUCAAUUUUCUCUGUUGGUUUCUUUGUCUUCUAACUUAUAAAAACCAAACCAAAUCGGCAUUCUGAGAUUUAUGAUUUAUGAUCGUUGAAUGUUUGAUUUAUUAGAUUAUAGUUAAAUCAAUUUCUAAAUUUUAAUUAUUUUAUUUUGGACUGUAAAUUUUAUGUAUAUUUUGAAUUUUAAAUCUAAGUUAAGUGGUGUUUGUUUUUUUUAUUUAAUUCUAAAUAGAAUCUUAAUAUUUAAUAAUGUUAAAUAUUAAGUUUGUUUUUAUAGUAUUUUAUUUUUAUUAAGUAUUAAAAAGUAAAAAAAAAUUAUUUAAAAAAAGUUACAUAUUUUGGUUUUUUUUAUUUAGUAAAAAAUUUAUAAUAAGUUGUGAGAAAAUAAAAAAACAAACAACCUAAAUUUUGAAAAUAAAUAGUUUUUAGCGAAAAGUUAAAAAAAUAAAUAUUAUUUUAAUUUUAAUUGCUUUUAAAAACAAAUUGGAUUGCAUUCAGUCAAUCAUCUAAAUUGAAUCAAACUGAUUUUAAACAAAGCUUGGUUUAAAUAAAAAUUGAUCACGUAGAAUCGGUUGGUUGAUUUGGUUUUUAAUUUUUCCCUUAAAAAAGAAAAAGAAAAUAGGAGAAUCCUACUGCGGAUGGGCUGGAACUUCUUAGCAUUUCAAACGUACUGACCCUUGGCAUCUUUAACAAAUUGAACCGCCUGUGUUAACAUGGGUAUUAAAACGUAAUACAAUUUUGCUGUCAAGUUGGAUAUAUUAUUGUGUCCCAACUGACCGCAGUGGCCUUUGGUGGUUGAAAUCUUUUCCUUGUGAAGGACGCAUGAACAGACAAUUUGAAUUGUAGGUUACAUUGCAUUGCCAUUUAACCUGGAUCAGAAAACAUCUCACAAAAUCACAGAACAUAAAUUGACAGUCCAUCACCUACUUAAUGAAAAAUCCAAGAGAAUUUCUUGCACAUCAGUGCCUACUGCUUAGCAUGGCCCCUAUGGGAGUCUUAGACUUUAAUCUAGGAUUUGCUAGAAAACAGGGUGUUUUUUUUUUUUUUUUUUUUUUUAAGGAUUUAUGAAAGAAAGUUAUUUUUUAGAAUAAAUUUGUUUUAAGGUGGGGUGCUUUUUAGAGUAGACCAAAGAAUAAUUGAAAAUGUGAAAAAACAGCGGCCAUGUUUAGUUCUCAAUAAGUAAAAUUUUAAUUUGAAAAAAAAAAUAUUUCUUGAAAAUCAUUUUAAAAAAUAUUGCCAAAAUACCUAAUCAUGUUGGCCUUUUAUCAAAAAGUUAGAUGUGUAUUUAGGUAUAUAUGGGGAUAUUGUAGAGAAAGGAAAUGGUGGUGAUGUUGUCAUGGGAGGUUAUAAUAUUAAGGGAGAAUUAUCCAAAAAGGUGGACUGUGCAGAACAAUUACUAAAAAGGGUGAUAUCUUUUAAUAAUUCUUGGAAAUAACUUUAAUAGAUUUAAUAUAUCAAAACUACCCUUUAACUAAAACUUUUAAAAUUCAAACCAUUUAAAGCACUUCACUUGAUUUGUCAAUAUAUUUAUGGUAUAUGGGUCCCAUAUUUAUUGUAAUUAUUGAUAUUUAAAUUUUAAAUCAAAAUUUUGGGUUUAACCCUUAUAAUUAUAUAUAAUUUGUUAUUUAAAUUUACUAUUUAAAACAAAAAUACUUUCAAAAAAUAUUUUCAAAAUAUCAUAUAUUGUUUUUUUACCUUUUUUAUUUUUAUUCUAAUUUUUAAUUUUAUGAAGAAAAAAAUAAGUUUUAUAAUUAUAUAAUAAAAAUGAUGAUUUUUUCAUAUAUAUAUAUAUAUAUAUAUAUUAUAAUUUUAAAUUGAUAAAUUAUGUUUUUGUAUUAAAUUUAAGGAAGAUAAAAUAUUUAAUUUUUCAUUCAGAUUCUCUAAAAAGAAUAAGAAAACGAUAGAGAAUGUUUAAUCAUUUUUAUUUUUAUAAUAAAAUAAUUUAAAAAAAUUUAUAUGAUUUUUUUUCCUUUGUAUAGUUUUUUAUUUAUUUUUUUUAAUUUUCAUAUAAAUUUUUUUUCUCAAUGCAUUGAGUGGAUGAUGUUAAUAUAUUUGAUAUAUUGAAUAUUAAUAAGGUAUAAAAUGUGAUCCUCAAGAUUAUUACUUUUAUUAUAAAAUACAGACACAACAAAAAUAUGUUAUAAUUACAAUAUAAAUAUACUUACAUUAUAAUAAAACUUAAUUAAGAAAUUUAUGAAUUUUUUUAUAAAAAUGGUAAUUUUGUAUGAUCAUACCAUAUUUCACAACAUACCUAUAUCAUAAAUAAUUUUUGAAAUAAAAUAAAAUACUAAUUUGAAUUCACGUAGUUUAUAUAUAUAUAUAUAUUACAAAAAUUAUUAAAUAAUUUCAAAACACUAAAUAAAUGUUGUUAAUAUAUUAAUACGAUGUGUUAAUACUAUAAGGUAUGAAUAAACAUUUUUAGAAUUAUUACUUUUGUAACUAAAUAUAGAUACAACAUAAAUGCAUUAUACUUACAAUAUAAAUACACUAUCAUUACAAUAUAUUACAACAUAAUUUAAUUUAUUUUUAUUUAAUUUUUUCAUGUGCUAUAUUACCCAAUGAAUGAUUGUGAGUUAUUCCAUUUAAUAGGUGUGUGUUAGUCAAUUGAAUAAUAUAUAAAUAUUCAAUUGAUGAGUGUUCGUAAAAAAUAAUUAUUCAUUAUAUUAUGAUAACAAAAUUUUUAAUUGUAUGUUUUAUAUAUAAAACGAUAUAAUAACUUUAGGAUAUGAUUUUUAUUUAUGAGAUAUUAAAAAUUAUUUUUUUUACAAGGUUCUUUAAAAAAUCUCAAUUUUUUUGAAAAAAAAAUAACAAAUUUUUAAACAAUCAAUUGUUUAAAAGUGACAAUAAUUUUUUCAAGUUGAGAAAUGUACGGUUGAUGUCCUAUCAACCUAUACUUAUCAUCAUGAAUGGGCCCACAUCCAUCUCUUCAGCCACAGAACAGUUGUUACCCACGCAUAUCUUACGAUUCUUAUCACCAAGAUUGUAAUUAUGCAAAAUGGAAACCAAAAGAUAGAAAAAUUCAAUCUAUUUCUUGCCAUUAUGCUAUUUUUCAUGGAUGAAAGUUACGAUUCUUGAAGCAAGUGGGCUACUGUAGUUAUCAAUGGUUUGUUAGAUUGGUUCUAGGCUACGGCAGUGAGAGUAUCCAGAUAUUUAAUGCGGUAGACAUGGUAGAAAACUGGAGUUUGAAGAUCUGAAAAUGUUGGCUGUAGUUUCAGCAUGAAACAGAGAAUGGCUAUAGAAAGAAAUUAUGGUAGAGUUUCUUUUGUUUUUUUUUUACUUUCUAUUAUCGGUUCUGCUGUUUUUGUUGUACAGUAUCUAGAUUUCAAACCAGAUGCGAAGAGAUUUAACUUGAGCAGAUCUCUCCACGUGGAAGCAUGAGAACCAAUCAAAACAUGACAACCACAUUAUGUUACAGAAAAUAAAACCAAUCAAGGAGGAGAGAAAAUAAAAAGGAAAAGAAGUGCUAGCCAGAAAAAAAUUGAGAUUAUCAAUGGAGAGCAGUUGCAAAAAGGUCUGUGUAACAGGAGGUUCUGGUUAUAUAGGCUCUUGGCUGGUAAAGAAGCUAUUGGAGAAAGGCCAUACUGUCCAUGCAACACUAAGAAACUUGGGUCUCUCUCCCCCUUUCUCUCUCUGUCUUCUUCGUAAACAGCUUUUUCAUUGUGUUUGAUUUGAAUUGCAGGUGACACCUCCAAAGUAAGCUUUCUCAAGUCUCUUCCUAAUGCAGACGCGAGGCUUGUGUUAUUUCAAGCUGAUAUCUACAAUCCUGAUGAGUUUGAGCUGGCAAUCAAAGGCUGUGAAUUUGUUUUCCAUGUCGCUACUCCCAUGCUCCAUAGCCCCCAAAGUACACAGGUCAGUGAUGAUCAGUCUCUUCAUUUACCUGAUCCGUUAAGAAAAUUUUGAAAUUGAUGACACUUUAAAGCCCCCAAAAAACAAAAAACAGUACAAAGACACCACUGAAGCUGCAGUUGCUGGGGUGAAAAGUAUAGCUGAUUCCUGCGUUCGAUCACAAACCGUCAAGAGACUAAUCUACACAGCAUCUGUCAUGGCCUCAUCUCCAUUGAAAGAAGAUGGGUUCGGCUUUAAGUCUUGUUUGGAUGAGUCCUGUUGGACACCCCUCAAUCUCUCAUACCAGCAUAGCAAUGACGUAAUGAUGGUAUGUCCCCUCUCCCCUCUUAUUAUACCCGAAAAAUAUUAUUCAUACAUAGAAUUAUUCAUGAAUUUAUGAACAAAUAAAUCUUGUUGUAGGCAUAUGUGAAAUCAAAGACACUAGCAGAGAAGGAGGUGUUGAGCUAUAAUGUAGAUGAAAAUAGUGAUCAAUUAGAAGUGGUUACCCUUGCUUGUGGCCUAGUUGCAGGAGGGACACUUCAGAACUAUCCUUCAACAAGCAUAGGAUGUGUUUUAUCACAGCUUACAGGCAAUUUAAUUCUUUAUGAAGGACUAAGGUUUCUGCAAGAAAUGCUUGGUACAAUUCCUCUUAUACACAUCGAUGAUGUCUGUGAAGCACACAUCUUCUGCAUGGAAAAACCAGUGAUGAAAGGCAGAUUUCUGUGUUCAGCUGUCAAUGCCACCAUCAAUGAGAUCGCAGACUUCUACUGCGAAAAUUAUCCGGAAUUCAAGAUAACAGAAGAGUAUAAAACUCUUAAUCUUUGGUUGAAAUUUUUUUUUUCUCCUUUUAAUGAGAUAUUAAUUGCUGAUUAGUAUGUGAUAGAUUGCAUAUUUUGAACUGCUAUACGUAGUAAUGGCUAUGAAAAUUUGUUCUAGGUUCACAGGAGGGGUGGAGGGGCCAACCUGCAAAUGGGAUUAUACAAAGCUGGUGAAGGAGGGUUUU